This 396-nucleotide ribosomal RNA is filed under the name uncultured bacterium. RNAcentral's name for it is "bacterial SSU rRNA". It matches the Rfam family "Bacterial small subunit ribosomal RNA", at positions 505 to 898 of the family's 1533-position model. The record is from RNAcentral.
GUGUCAGCAGCCGCGGUAAGACGGAGGGCGCAAGCGUUGUUCGGAAUUACUGGGCGUAAAGCGCACGCAGGCGGUCUUUUAAGUCUUCUGUGAAAACCCGGAGCUCAACUCCGCGGAAUGCAAAAGAUACUGGAAGACUAGAGAUCGGUAGAGGCUAGUGGAAUUCCUGGUGUAGCGGUGGAAUGCGUAGAUAUCAGGAGGAACACCGGUGGCGAAGGCGACUAGCUGGGCCGAAUCUGACGCUCAUGUGCGAAAGCGUGGGGAGCAAACAGGAUUAGAUACCCUGGUAGUCCACGCCGUAAACGAUGGGCACUAGAUGCCGGGCCUUUCGACGGGUUCGGUGUCGAAGCUAACGCAUUAAGUGCCCCGCCUGGGGAGUACGGCCGCAAGGCUGAA